RNAcentral lists this long non-coding RNA (1977 nucleotides) under Mus musculus (house mouse). RNAcentral's name for it is "RIKEN cDNA 2610307P16 gene". Lineage: Eukaryota; Metazoa; Chordata; Mammalia; Rodentia; Muridae. The record is from RNAcentral.
GAGGGAGAGAGGAGGAAGGGGUGAGAGGGAGAAACCUGCCGCGGCUCUCCGCCUCUUUGUCUGCUCUGGGACUUGGAACAAAAGGGGAAACUCUGAUGAACUCCUUCUCCAGCUCCCUGGACGCCCGAGUAUCUCUUUCUCGCAACUUUGUCAACGCGACUUUCUCCGCUGUCAGGCUGCGCAAAAGUAUCCUAGCGCCUCGCAGGCUGCAACAAUGGAAACAAUGUCCCUUCAAAGUGCGACGAAGUGGAGGGAGAAGGUGUCAUACCAGCGACUCCAAGAGUCAUGUCACCCACUUAGCAGGAGUACUUCUACUGAAAUGCCUUCGAAUUUCUCUUACUGGAUAUAUACCUACCAGCCGCUAGCAUGAAGAUGCCAGGACCGCUGCAAGUUAGCACUGGACAAAGUAGCAUCAACUUCUUCAUUUAGAGUUUCUUCAGUUAAAUUGCUGGGAUUUUCGACAAGGCUUUCCUUAUGUGGAUUAUUGGAGUGUGAUGCCCGAGAAUUCUCUACUUGUAGAAGCACGCCCACGGGACUGCAGAAGCCUUCACACCCACCCAGCACGCUCAGAUCAUCCAGUAACCAACCCAGGAAGUUCUUGUAAGCAUGCAUUUCUUAGUCAACACUGAAUGCCUUUAGACCGAGGUCAACCUUUUCAGCUGGUACCGUGGUUUACACUGCUGGGUUGAUGGCCUAACACUGGCUUAACACUCAUGUCGGCUGCACUAAUUGAAGUCACAUCCAAGUGGGUCAAUGCACUGAACAUAUCUGAUAUAGAAGGUCCCAGAUCCUGAAUUUUUAUCAAUGGUUUGCUGUAUAAGGCUUGCCUCCCAAAUAGCUGAGGACCCUUAUUUGGGAAGAUACGUUCUGAUGGUUAAGCAACAGCACAGAUGUCGAUGGGAAUGAGUGAUGGCCAUCCAGUGACCAGCUGGAUCUGACUGCCUUACAAGACGCAUGUGUAUGAUUAAGAGAGAGACAUUCGUGACUCCCAGAUGUACCUCCUUCCUGUCCCACAGUGUUCCUGAAGGGAGUGAGUUAUGGGGUAACUUAUAACACAGCAGGCUCUUCCUCAAGAUAGCUCUUGUCAAAACAGGAAGACGAAACUCGGGUUUCCAUGAGGAGACCACAGCUUGGGAUCCUGUCUGGAUGUACAAGCAGAAGCAUCUUCAUACUUUUCCAUUUCUAACCAUCAUGCCUCACCCCACCCUCCCAAGGCGACAUCUGCAGAGAGGUGGAACCAUCUAGGGAGGCCUGCCACUGUUUGCUGAGCUCCGGGUGAGGAUGAAGACACUUUGACAUGGCCAGCUUCAGACUCGGGAUCUGUCGGUGUUAGCAGCCGAAGGAGAAUGAGGAGGAAGAGGAGGAGAAAGAGGAGGAGGAAGUAAGACAGAGGGGGACAAGAGGACCAAGAGGGCACAUGGCUGAGGAGGAGGAGAACAACAACAACAACAACAACAACAACAACAACAAGAAGCUUGGUGUUUUCAGGAUGUGUUCCUGAGUCUCGUGAGUAGCACAUGGCAGUUGUUGUCACCUUGGGCUGAGCCGUGAAGAUUCUCACCCUCCCUUGUUGGGGAUGAACUCCGGGAUUCUAAGGAGAGGUCAGCAGGUGUUUCACAGACUGUUCCUGUUGGAGGAUUUGUCUGAUACUCUUCUCCUGAUUAGUCUGGGCUCUACAUUUCCCCAAGGGUGAAACUUGGAAGCCCUCUCCAGGAUGCAGCAGGUAGCUGAGGAGAAAACGAAGACUGACCAGCCCAGAGCUCAGAGCUUCCUCCCAUGCUCAGGAUUUACCACCAAUGCCAUUACAUCGGCCUCUUCUUGUAUGCCUCUGGAAACCACAUGUGUCCUCUGUUUGUAAUGGUUUGGCUAUGGUUGCUGGCCCCUCUUGGACAUUGUUUUCAGAACUUAAAGAAACAUUGCUUUAAAGAUUUAUUAGAACAUAUUUAAAAUAAAACCAUCUUCUCAUUUAGUAUGCAA